Molecule: long non-coding RNA, 2725 nt
Organism: Scylla paramamosain (green mud crab)
Lineage: Eukaryota; Metazoa; Arthropoda; Malacostraca; Decapoda; Portunidae
Exons: 3
Source: RefSeq, a predicted model, not a curated record
CUUUGUUGAGGUCAUUGAGGAGAUAAGGCAAGUUAAUAUUAACAGUAAUGUUCUGCUGGUGUUGGCAGAGCAGUGGUGUUUACUGUUGAGGGCACAGUUCCUUCUGGCAUGCGUGGCAUUGCUGCUAAGCAUACUAUUGGCUGAGUUACUGUCUCUUGAAGAUUACUAUUCUACUGCAUUCUCUUGUCUUAUGCCAUGGUCUACCUGAUGCCUUACAGCAUUUUAUUGCCUCCUGGCUGAGUGCAAAAUUGUUGUAUGACAUGGCCUGAAGGGAGAAAAAGAAAAAAACUGUGGAGUUUCCAGUAACCAGUAGAGUAAGAAAAAAUUAUACUUAUUUGUCACAUUUGGCAUAACAUUCUUUUCUCUACAAAAUUGCUGUAGCAAUUUUUUUCUUAUUUAAAUGUUGUAACUCCACAUUGACUAAAAAGGAAAAGUGAAAUUGUUUUAGUUUGCUAAGAAAAUUUUGGUCUCUACAAUUUGCCGUUUUUUGUCAUUAAUCACUCAUAUUUCUAAAAUGCCACUUUGUUGAAGAUGUGUGAAAUGGCUCCAUGCUUUCAGUACCACUUGAGAAAGAUUUGCUCUGCAGGGCCCAUAAUGAUGCCAAGGGACAACAGCUCAGUGAUUCAGUCAAGUCCUACAGUAUUACAGAUGACACCACUAAGAGCCACACACUGUAGGAUUCCUCAUCCCAUUUUCUUGUCUGGAGGAAUUCUUGCUACAUGGACAUCUUGGUAAAAGAUGUUCCACAAAUGAAUAUCAGGUCUGCCAAGCUCCAAAGUCUUGUAGUUUCUUUUACUGAAGAUGGAUUAGCAGAAUUAAUGAAUCAUGAAGACAUCCUGCUCAUGGUAGGCCUGGAUGUGGGCAGAUGUGUGAAGUAGUGGCUGGCAUGAACACUGCUGCUUUUAGUUCUGGGGCAUUAAGUUGUCUCACACAAACCAGGCAUUGAACACUAGUUGUUGUUAGCCUAAACAUGGCAUAAGUCCCUUUUAUCUAGCUUAGUUUUAGACACAAUUGCCCCAAUAUGUUAUUCAACAGCUCUUGUGAAGUAGUUAGCUGCUGUCCUGUGAAUCACUAUCACAGUUAGCCCUUUGCAGAGAUUUUAGGAACAGAUGUCAGCACAUAGAUGCAGCAUCAAUUGAGAAAGCUACUUAGUAUGUAGUGAUUUAGUAUCUUUGGAUCACUAAUGAUUGUUUACCUCUGUGCUCUCAAAUUUAUGAACAUGUGAUUCUUUUUUAUUUCUAACUUUAUAACAUUAUGAGAAAUACUACUUUUUAGUCAUUGCUAUAUCAAUUUGACUUUAAGAAUUUAGUUUCUAUUAUAUUUCAAGAAAAGACUGUCCUGAAGGCAUGAUGAAAUAAUGUGUGAUCUGUCCUCUGACAUGGGAAAUCAUGUAAGGAACUUGUGCACCCAAGAUGUCAGGAAUGACACUGGCCUCCAUUAGGUCAUAUAGAGUUGUGUCCCUUAGAACAUGGAAUGUUCAUUAAUUGCAUUAGUGCUUGCUCUAUAUAAAGAAAUGUAUUGUCAGUAACACUGCAUAUGUUGGAUGAACCCAAUAAAGUGAAGUGUUUAUUUUAUUUUUGUUUUUGAUAUGUAAUGCAUAACAGCUUUUGGUUAUUUGCCUUGCCAUUUCGCUUUCCUUUAUUGUACAGAAAACCCUUUAUAUGAAAUGUUAAUUAUUAUUUUAAUGACAGAGUGUAUGUGUACCAUGUGAUAAUAUUGUCUUAAGUGUGUGUUCUGGGCUUGGUGUGUGGAUGUAUGGAAGCAAUUCUACCUUAAUGAUAGUAUCUCUAAAAUAUGUAAAGAUCAGGUUCCUUGGGAUCCUUAUCUUUUCUUCUAUGAUGAUGAUGAUGAUGAUGAUGACAAUUAUCAUUAUUAUUAUUAUUAUUAUUAUUAUUAUUAUUAUUAUUAUUAUUAUUAUUAUUAGUGUUAUUAGUUAUUAUUAUUGUUGUUUUAUUAAUAAUAUUUUAUUAUUAUUAUUAUUGUUAUUAUUAUUAUUAUUAUUAUUAUUAUUAUUAUUAUUAUUAUUAUUAUUAUUAUUAUUAUUAUUAUUAUUAUUAUUAUUUCAGUGCUGCUGUUACAUAGAUACAAUAUUAAUUAUUUUACUUUAUAAUCCAUAAAGUAAAGCAAAAAAAAAUAUCGCUAUAUUAAUUUACCUUUUGAUAAAAUUCAUAUAAAAAAAAAGGGUGGUAAAGUAUCUAAGAUACCCCUGAAAGCAUUUUCCUUGUAUAUACUCAUCGCUGAGAGGUGGCAGCACCGCUGCUGUCCUCCAAACUUUAACCCAUACCACUGAUUCCUUCUUACACAUUCCUUGGUCCCCUCUCUCUUCAAACAGUAGCUGGGGAGAUUUCAGAGAGUGUGGAUGUGGUGCUGAGUGAGUCCAGGUGAAUGUGUAUUUAGGGAUGGGUAUUCCUGUAUAUUUAAGGGUGGGCUUGCCAUAUAACAUCACAUUAUUAUUAUUAUAUAUUGUACAAGGCCCUAUGAGAGGCCAGAAUCUGAGAGAAGGCAGAUAUUAGAUGAGAGAGUAUUUGUGAGUCAUAUCCAGGCUGCUCCUGUGAUGGAGGGUGAAUCUGUGCACAGUAUUAUACUUUUGUGUCAUUGUACCUAUGGUCUGAUCAUUUUAAAUUGAACGUUUGGGCGUUUUUGUUUCCGGGAGAUCCCCUGCCCUGCAGCGCUGCCAGCCAAUUAUCGGAUUAAAGCCUGUGUCACUGAUAAUCUUGCUCCCCAC